This 505-nucleotide ribosomal RNA is filed under the name uncultured bacterium. RNAcentral describes it as "partial 16S ribosomal RNA". It matches the Rfam family "Bacterial small subunit ribosomal RNA", at positions 355 to 870 of the family's 1533-position model. The record is from RNAcentral.
UGGGGAAUAUUGCGCAAUGGGCGGAAGCCUGACGCAGCGACGCCGCGUGAGGGAUGACGGCCUUCGGGUUGUAAACCUCUUUCACCCACGACGAAGCGAAAGUGACGGUAGUGGGAGAAGAAGCACCGGCCAACUACGUGCCAGCAGCCGCGGUAAUACGUAGGGUGCAAGCGUUGUCCGGAAUUAUUGGGCGUAAAGAGCUCGUAGGCGGUUUGUCGCGUCGGCUGUGAAAGCCCGGAGCUCAACUCCGGGUCUGCAGUCGAUACGGGCAGACUUGAGUGUUGCAGGGGAGACUGGAAUUCCUGGUGUAGCGGUGAAAUGCGCAGAUAUCAGGAGGAACACCGGUGGCGAAGGCGGGUCUCUGGGCAACAACUGACGCUGAGGAGCGAAAGCGUGGGGAGCGAACAGGAUUAGAUACCCUGGUAGUCCACGCCGUAAACGUUGGGCGCUAGGUGUGGGGGCCAUUCCACGGUCUCCGUGCCGCAGCUAACGCAUUAAGCGCCCC